Molecule: ribosomal RNA, 506 nt
Filed under: Chrysolina reitteri
Lineage: Eukaryota; Metazoa; Arthropoda; Insecta; Coleoptera; Chrysomelidae
Description: partial 16S ribosomal RNA
Rfam family: Bacterial large subunit ribosomal RNA
Source: RNAcentral
GUCCUUUUGUGAAUAAUUUAAGGUCUAACCUGCCCACUGAAAAUUUAAAUGGCCGUGGUAUUUUGACCGUGCUAAGGUAGCAUAAUCAUUAGUUUUUUAAUUAAAAACUGGAAUGAAAGGUUGAAUAAGAAAAUGACUGUCUCUAUUAAAUUAUUAGAAUUUUAUUUUUAAGUUAAAAAGCUUAAUUGGAUUUAAAAGACGAGAAGACCCUAUAGAGUUUAAUUAUUAAAUAAAAAUUAUAUUUUAGUAUUUAUUUAUAUAUUUUAUUUAAUAAUUUAAUUGGGGUGAUUGAAAAAUUUAAUAAACUUUUUUUAUUUUUGAACAUAAAUUUAUGAAUAAAUGAUCCAAUAUUUUUGAUUAUAAGAUAAAAUUACCUUAGGGAUAACAGCGUAAUUUUUUUAUAGAGUUCAUAUUAAAAGAAAAGAUUGCGACCUCGAUGUUGGAUUAAAAUUAAUUUUUGGUGUAGAAGCUAAAAUAUUGGGUCUGUUCGACCUUUAAAAUUUUAC